AACUAUUCUAAGAAACUUAAUUAAUUAUAUAAUCCAAACAAAAAUAUGUAUUUCAAGUCUUCAACACAAUCUUCCAUCGUCAAUUGUUCGAUCUGAAUCCGUUCAUCGCCUCAGGCGAAAUCGCGCAACAGCUAUUCAUUUUCAGUUUCCCCCAAACUAGAGCAAAACACUUGGAGGUGAAAACUUUGUUUGAAGUACAGCACUCCUCCAUCUCGACCAAAGUAAGAAGCCGGCGGAAAUUUUUCUAAAUUGCCCAUCAAAAUACAGAAGCCGAAACAAGAAGGUGAGUGCGCUUAAAAGUCUGGCUAUGGCGAAUUCUCUAAUUCGACUCUUGACUUCGAUUCGAUUGUUUACUGUUCGAGAAGGCAGCUUAAUCUUCUUACAUGUUUAUUCAAUAAUUCUCUCUAGUGGACUUUGGUGUGUGUUUGAAGGUGGUGGUCACAAUGGUGACAGUGGUUUGAUUGUGAGGUGGUGGGUGAUGAUAAGGUGGGCAACGAUGAUAAGGUCUUCUCCCAUGUUUGAAAGGAUGAGAGGACGACAGUAAUUUGGAAAUGGGUCGAGAGGGGAGAAUAAUAAUACUGCGGUCGACAGCAAUUUGGAUUGCCUUGCUGCAUGCCAUUGCAGUCAUUGGUAGCUUGGACCUCAAUCCAUAUGAUUACUGUGCCCGAUACUUCACAACUGAUUGCUACAGAGAUACAUAUUCAGAGUCUAUAUAUCCCAUUUCGCUCCCUACUGGUUUUUUUUUUCAGUUGUAGUAUGUGUUCUGUUGUGUGUUGCAAUAGGUUAUGUGUAGUUGGUGUUCAUUUGGGUGAUUGUAAUAUAUGCUUAGGAUGUUGGUAUGGGAAGUUAGUACAACUAGAGUAUGUUCUUUAGUAUUUGAGAAGAAUUUGUAAUUUCAUUCACUACCAUCUCAGUAAUGUGAAUGUGAUUGAAAACAUGUUGCUGUUUUCGGCUCACCGAUUUGCCUGUAUUGAUACUUAUACAUUGUUAUACAAC
This 996-nucleotide long non-coding RNA is filed under the name Olea europaea (common olive). RNAcentral describes it as "long non-coding RNA (OEUR_LNC006188)". The record is from RNAcentral. Lineage: Eukaryota; Viridiplantae; Streptophyta; Magnoliopsida; Lamiales; Oleaceae.